UACAGAGGUGGCAAGCGUUGUUCGGAAUUACUGGGCGUAAAGGGCGCGUAGGCGGUUCCGUAAGUCCCGCGUGAAAUCCCCCGGCUCAACUGGGGAACGGCGCGGGAAACUUCGGGGCUUGAGUUCGGGAGAGGGAAGCGGAAUUCCGGGUGUAGCGGUGAAACGCGUAGAUAUCCGGAGGAACACCGGUGGCGAAGGCGGCUUCCUGGACCGACACUGACGCUGAGGCGCGAAAGCUAGGGGAGCAAACGGG
This 253-nucleotide ribosomal RNA is filed under the name uncultured prokaryote. RNAcentral describes it as "partial 16S ribosomal RNA". It matches the Rfam family "Bacterial small subunit ribosomal RNA", at positions 524 to 776 of the family's 1533-position model. The record is from RNAcentral.